AUCCGUCGCGGGCGUAGGAAAUUUGAGAGGAGCUGUCCUUAGUACGAGAGGACCGGGAUGGACUGACCUCUGGUGCACCAGUUGUUCCGCCAGGAGCACGGCUGGGUAGCUAAGUCGGGAAGGGAUAAACGCUGAAAGCAUCUAAGCGUGAAGCCUCCCUCAAGAUGAGAUUUCCCAUAGCAAAAGCUAGUAAGACCCCUUGAAGAACACAAGGUUGAUAGGUCAGAGGUGUAAGUGCGGUAACGUAUGUAGCUGACUGAUACUAAUAGGUCGAGGGCUUGACCAA
This 286-nucleotide ribosomal RNA is filed under the name Clostridium sp. RNAcentral describes it as "partial 23S ribosomal RNA". It matches the Rfam family "Bacterial large subunit ribosomal RNA", at positions 2640 to 2925 of the family's 2925-position model. The record is from RNAcentral. Lineage: Bacteria; Bacillati; Bacillota; Clostridia; Eubacteriales; Clostridiaceae.